Molecule: ribosomal RNA, 433 nt
Filed under: uncultured bacterium
Lineage: Bacteria
Description: partial 16S ribosomal RNA
Rfam family: Bacterial small subunit ribosomal RNA
Source: RNAcentral
AACGAACGCUGGCGGCAUGCCUAACACAUGCAAGUCGAACGAGACCUUCGGGUCUAGUGGCGCACGGGUGCGUAACGCGUGGGAAUCUGCCCUUGGGUUCGGAAUAACAGUUGGAAACGACUGCUAAUACCGGAUGAUGACGUAAGUCCAAAGAUUUAUCGCGCAAGGAUGAGCCCGCGUAGGAUUAGCUAGUUGGUGAGGUAAAGGCUCACCAAGGCGACGAUCCUUAGCUGGUCUGAGAGGAUGAUCAGCCACACUGGGACUGAGACACGGCCCAGAAUCCUACGGGAUGCAGCAGUGGGUGAUAUUGGACAACGGGCGAAAGCCUGAUCCAGUAAUGCCGCGUGAGUGAUGAAGGCCUGAGGGUAGUAAAGCUCUUUUACCCGGGAGGAUAAUGACAGUACCGGAAGAAUAAGCUCCGGCUAACUCCGUG